AUAAAUAAAGAACAAUUUUCCAAGAGAAAAAAUGACACACUGGAUCCUGAACUGUUUGUUGAAUGUACAGAGUGCGGAAGAAAGAUGCAUCAGAUCUGUGUCCUUCACCAUGAGAUCAUCUGGCCCGCUGGAUUCGUCUGUGAUGGCUGUUUAAAGAAAAGUGCACGAACUAGGAAAGAAAAUAAGUUUUCUGCUAAAAGGUUGCCAUCUACCAGACUUGGCACCUUUCUAGAGAAUCGUGUGAAUGACUUUCUGAGGCGACAGAAUCACCCUGAGUCAGGAGAGGUCACUGUUAGAGUAGUUCAUGCUUCUGACAAAACCGUGGAAGUAAAACCAGGCAUGAAAGCAAGGUUUGUGGACAGUGGAGAGAUGGCAGAAUCCUUUCCGUACCGAACCAAAGCCCUCUUUGCCUUUGAAGAAAUUGAUGGCGUUGACCUAUGCUUCUUUGGCAUGCAUGUUCAAGAGUAUGGCUCUGACUGCCCUCCACCCAACCAGAGGCACUGCUAGUUACUACAAAUAGAAGGAAACCACAGGCUCAUUGAAC
This 544-nucleotide small RNA is filed under the name Pongo abelii (Sumatran orangutan). RNAcentral's name for it is "processed transcript". The record is from RNAcentral. Lineage: Eukaryota; Metazoa; Chordata; Mammalia; Primates; Hominidae.